UGAAAUCCCCGGGCUUAACCUGGGAAUUGCGUUUGAAACUGCAGAACUAGAGUGCGGCAGAGGGAGGUGGAAUUCCAUGUGUAGCAGUGAAAUGCGUAGAGAUAUGGAAGAACAUCGAUGGCGAAGGCAACCUCCUGGGCUAGCACUGACGCUCAUGCACGAAAGCGUGGGGAGCAAACAGGAUUAGAUACCCUGGUAGUCCACGCCCUAAACUAUGUCAACUAGUUGUCGGGUCUUAUUGGGCUUGGUAACGUAGCUAACGCGUGAAGUUGACCGCCUGGGGAGUACGGUCGCAAGAUUAAAACUUAAAUAAAUUGACGG
This 321-nucleotide ribosomal RNA is filed under the name uncultured Nitrosomonas sp. RNAcentral describes it as "bacterial SSU rRNA". It matches the Rfam family "Bacterial small subunit ribosomal RNA", at positions 595 to 916 of the family's 1533-position model. The record is from RNAcentral. Lineage: Bacteria; Pseudomonadati; Pseudomonadota; Betaproteobacteria; Nitrosomonadales; Nitrosomonadaceae.